RNAcentral lists this ribosomal RNA (233 nucleotides) under uncultured bacterium. RNAcentral describes it as "partial 16S ribosomal RNA". It matches the Rfam family "Bacterial small subunit ribosomal RNA", at positions 100 to 334 of the family's 1533-position model. The record is from RNAcentral.
CGGGACGGGUGAGUAAUGCUUGGGAAUCUAGCUUAUGAGGGGGAGUAACUACGGGAAACUGUAGCUAAUACCGCGUAAUAUCGAAAGAUUAAAGUGUGGGACCUUCGGGCCACAUGCCAUAAGAUGAGCCCAAGUGGGAUUAGGUAGUUGGUGAGGUAAAGGCUCACCAAGCCGACGAUCUCUAGCUGGUCUGAGAGGAUGACCAGCCACACUGGGACUGAGACACGGCCCAG